GUCUGCAACCAUCCCUGCACACCAUCCUGAACAUGGCCUGCCUUGUUGGACUUUGGAAGCUAAGUAUGGUGGGGCCUGGUUAGUGCUUGACUGGGAAACUGCCUGUGAAUACUGGUGCUGUAGGCU
This is a ribosomal RNA of Theropithecus gelada (gelada), 126 nucleotides long. The record is from Ensembl. NCBI's taxonomy places the organism in Eukaryota, Metazoa, Chordata, Mammalia, Primates, Cercopithecidae.